Molecule: ribosomal RNA, 253 nt
Filed under: uncultured bacterium
Lineage: Bacteria
Description: partial 16S ribosomal RNA
Rfam family: Bacterial small subunit ribosomal RNA
Source: RNAcentral
UACGGGGGGGGCAAGCGUUGUUCGGAAUUACUGGGCGUAAAGGGCUCGUAGGUGGCCAACUAAGUCAGACGUGAAAUCCCUCGGCUUAACCGGGGAACUGCGUCUGAUACUGGAUGGCUUGAGUUUGGGAGAGGGACGCGGAAUUCCAGGUGUAGCGGUGAAAUGCGUAGAUAUCUGGAGGAACACCGGUGGCGAAGGCGGCAUCCUGGACCAUGACUGACACUGAAAAGCGAAAGCCAGGGGAGCAAACGGG